Molecule: ribosomal RNA, 490 nt
Filed under: uncultured bacterium
Lineage: Bacteria
Description: partial 16S ribosomal RNA
Rfam family: Bacterial small subunit ribosomal RNA
Source: RNAcentral
AUUGAACGCUGGCGGCAGGCCUAACACAUGCAAGUCGAACGGUAACAGGAAACAGCUUGCUGUUUCGCUGACGAGUGGCGGACGGGUGAGUAAUGUCUGGGAAACUGCCUGAUGGAGGGGGAUAACUACUGGAAACGGUAGCUAAUACCGCAUAACGUCGCAAGACCAAAGAGGGGGACCCUCGGGCCUCUUGCCAUCGGAUGUGCCCAGAUGGGAUUAGCUUGUUGGUGGGGUAACGGCUCACCAAGGCGACGAUCCCUAGCUGGUCUGAGAGGAUGACCAGCCACACUGGAACUGAGACACGGUCCAGACUCCUACGGGAGGCAGCAGUGGGGAAUAUUGCACAAUGGGCGCAAGCCUGAUGCAGCCAUGCCGCGUGUAUGAAGAAGGCCUUCGGGUUGUAAAGUACUUUCAGCGGGGAAGAAGGGAGUAAAGUUAAUACCUUUACUCAUUGACGUUACCCGCAGAAGAAGCACCGGCUAACUCCGUG